AACCUGAGCUCAGUCGUGACUACCCGCCGAACUUAAGCAUAUCAUUCAGCGGAGGAAAAGAAACUAAAAGGGC
This 73-nucleotide ribosomal RNA is filed under the name Heterorhabditis baujardi. Its description in RNAcentral is "partial 26S ribosomal RNA". It matches the Rfam family "Eukaryotic large subunit ribosomal RNA", at positions 1 to 74 of the family's 3401-position model. Lineage: Eukaryota; Metazoa; Nematoda; Chromadorea; Rhabditida; Heterorhabditidae. The record is from RNAcentral.